Molecule: transfer RNA, 65 nt
Filed under: Allonychiurus kimi
Lineage: Eukaryota; Metazoa; Arthropoda; Collembola; Poduromorpha; Onychiuridae
Description: tRNA-Glu
Source: RNAcentral
CUUUAAUAGUUUAAUUUAUAAAACAUUAUAUUUUCAUUAUAAUAAUAAUUUUUAAUUUUAAAGAU